GACUACACACUACUGUGUGCCCUGUGUUGUGUCUAGCGAAAAUGAAAAGAUUGUACAAAAUUUAUGUAUGUCAAUGAAGUCAAAAUAAAGAAGCACUCAAAAUAGUGAAAUUAAAUGGUGCUACAAACUACUGAGAGACAUCCAUAGUUCACCUCAGACAUCUCCUGAUGAGUGAUGGCAUCCACUAUGUCGUCAAAUACGAUGGCUGUAACCAGCAACAUCAGCGAAGACAGGCAGAGAACCACGAGAGACACCAGCCGCUUCUUUCUGGAACCUUUCACGCAUGGCGACAUCUUCUUCGCUGGCCUUAUCGCAUACCUACCAUUUUUUGUAGUUUUGUCGAUACGCUUGGGGCGUAUAAAUGGAACACUGCUUUGAAAACUAAAAACGAAAAAAAAAUGUUCAUGUACAUUUAUAAACUUCAAAUCGGAUGUUCUGGCCUUAAGCCAAAUAUAAAUAAAUAAAUAGUUUUUAAAAAACGCUAAUAUUAAAACGCACUAAAAAAGUACAAAAUAAUUUUGGAAGGAAACAAAGUUACCAAUAUAGUUUGUGUGUAAACACAAACUCAGAAUAGGCACCAGAAAUGGUCCACUCAGGCAAGUAAAAAGGCGGGUUUCAAUAUUUACAGCCAGAAUAUCAGAAGCUAUAAACUGCUAAAUCUCAAUAACCACAACCCUAUCUCAAUAACCACAACCCUAUUUCCGGCAAUACAAAAAGAAGAGACGUGCAAUGUUAGGCCAACUGACAACAUGAUACCACAAUAUAAGGAGAUAUAUUUGUGUUAUUUUUAUUACACUUUUAACAUUCCUAGGUUCUCGAUGAACUGAUUGGUAUAUAGAUAUGGUACAAUCAUAUGUAAACCUGGCCUAACUGAUGUGAUUGAAUGAUUAUCUAAUAGACGGUUUCCUAAAGGGCCAAUCUCUCAUUCAAGGCCUAAAAAAAACCUUUUCCCUCUGGUUACAUCUCUAUACUGAUUGUGUUAUAGGUACAUAGCAAUAUCUAUAUGUAUUAUGCGGUGUAUAUGAUAAUAUAAAAUACUGCUUGUGAAAUGUUUUAAAUUCUGUUCGCGUUAUAUACAUACUAAAUGUAUUCUUUCUCUUUAAAAACAAAAGUGUACAUAUUAUUUUAAAUAAAUGUUUUACCAAGUGUAACAGAAAAUGUUAAAUUUUGUACUACAAACGAUUUUUUAGAAAGUUUUUUUUAUAUAAAAUAACAAAAACGUUUGCUUAAUUUUUUUUAAAUAAACAGGAAAAUUUUCUCCCUAA
This is a long non-coding RNA of Biomphalaria glabrata, 1265 nucleotides long. RefSeq lists it as uncharacterized. NCBI's taxonomy places the organism in Eukaryota, Metazoa, Mollusca, Gastropoda, Planorbidae. The transcript has 3 exons. The record is from RefSeq and is a predicted model, not a curated record.